Molecule: ribosomal RNA, 292 nt
Filed under: uncultured bacterium
Lineage: Bacteria
Also listed under: 1 other name
Description: partial 16S ribosomal RNA
Source: RNAcentral
GGACUACCCGGGUUUCUAAUCCUGUUUGAUCCCCGCACUUUCGUGCCUCAGCGUCAGUGGCUCCUUGGCAGGCUGCCUUCGCUAUCGGUGUUCUUGACGAUAUCUAAGCAUUUCACCGCUACACCGUCAAUUCCGCCUGCCUCAUCAGCACUCAAGCCCCGCAGUAUCAACGGCACCUCGACAGUUGAGCUGCCGUAUUUCACCGCUGACUUACAGGGCCGCCUACGCACCCUUUAAACCCAAUAAAUCCGGACAACGCUCGCCACCUACGUAUUACCGCGGCUGCUGGCAC